Molecule: ribosomal RNA, 460 nt
Filed under: uncultured bacterium
Lineage: Bacteria
Description: partial 16S ribosomal RNA
Rfam family: Bacterial small subunit ribosomal RNA
Source: RNAcentral
CCUACGGGUGGCAGCAGUGAGGAAUAUUGGUCAAUGGGCGGAAGCCUGAACCAGCCAAGUCGCGUGAGGGAUUAAGGCCCUGCGGGUCGUAAACCUCUUUUGCCGGGGAGCAGUGGUCCGGACGAGUCCGGGCCGGGAGAGUACCCGGAGAAAAAGCAUCGGCUAACUCCGUGCCAGCAGCCACGGUAAUACGGAGGAUGCGAGCGUUAUCCGGAUUUAUUGGGUUUAAAGGGUGCGUAGGCGGGCAUUUAAGCCGGCGGUCAAAUGUCGGGGCUCAACCCCGGCCUGCCGUCGGAACUGGGUGCCUUGAGUGGGCGUGAAGUAUGCGGAAUGCGUGGUGUAGCGGUGAAAUGCAUAGAUAUCACGCAGAACCCCGAUUGCGAAGGCAGCAUACCGGCGCCCGACUGACGCUGAGGCACGAAAGUGCGGGUAUCGAACAGGAUUAGAUACCCCUGUAGUC